Oryzias sinensis (Chinese medaka) is the source of this 1839-nucleotide long non-coding RNA. The record is from Ensembl. NCBI's taxonomy places the organism in Eukaryota, Metazoa, Chordata, Actinopteri, Beloniformes, Adrianichthyidae.
UAAAAUGGUAACCUAAAUCCACAUUCUCUGUUCCCAGCCUAAUCCUCACUACACUUCCCCAGAAAGCCAUGUCAUAACUUGCUGGAGACAAACCCUUUCUAUUGUUCAAAACACAAAGGGAUCAAGUUGUCUCUAUUUACAAUGAACUGGCUCUUUCAAAAGGCUCUCCAUCUAAAUCAUCUGUGUACACAUACUCAGAGACAUACACACUUAAGACUGGGCCUCUGCCCCCUCUGUGUUGGGUGUCACCAGAUUAGAGACUUCUGUGGUUUCCCUCUCACAUAAACCUCUGAAUCCUGCAGGGCUUCCUUUGCAUAUGGGCCCUUCAUUAGUGUCCUGCAGAGUGUGACCACUCACCCAUGGGAGGGGAAGGUCAUCUCCCAGCCUCCGACUAAUCAUGGCUGCGGCAGCAACCCCCACCAUCUACAGCUGACAGGUGGAUCAACGUGCUCUUUGUUAAAUCACCUGGAGGAUCCACAGAGAAAUGGAAACAGCUGCUGCACUGAGGAACCAGGAGGCACCUGUGGAAUUCAGUCGUCUCUUUCACUGCCAGACUGUGGAUCAUCCAAACACCUGGAUGAAGUCUGGACACUCAGUUCUCUCUCUCUAUGUCUUUGAUUUUCAGUCGGUCAUGUGUUAAUAAGGAAAAAAAAGAAAAAUAAUGUUUUACUUUGAAGCUUAAAUGUUUGCAGUUCUUCCAGAUCUAAGUUUUCUGACUUUCAAGCCCCUUAACUGAGAAAAAUAAAAGCUAAUAUUCGGUUUUGAAGCAUGUGGGGUUUAACUCAACCCUUUAAGAUGUCAUAAUGCCUGGCUGUACAAAUGACAUAUUCUGAGUGAGGGAAAGACAUACUCCCUAACAACACACAGAGAGGUCUGGAAAGCUGUGUCAUUAAGGAAGAACCAGUAAAUGACACGGCCCAGGAGGUCCCUGGUGCCGUCAUCCAAACCUCCCCUCUCCUCACCCCGCUGAUAUCAUCGGCAUGGCCUGUGUCACAACUUGAACGGAUGGAAGCUAUUACAGCUGGUGGCAUAGGAGCGUACAGUCAUGAUGAAAAUCAGAGCUCUGCUUCUAUUUUUGCCUGACCUGAUUCCGAGUGCUGUUCGGUACUCUGAAUCGGAAGAUAUUAGAAGACAUAUACAGCUUCGGUUACAUUUAUCCAAUCAUUCCAACACCACAUGAACGCAGUAUUUCUCUAAAUUUGCAUAUUCCCAUAGGGACAUCAACCUGUUGAUGCGAUUGGCACUAAAAUUAGAACAAAAGUCACAGUUUUGAAACAGAAACUCCAAAAUUUUAACAUAUAUUUAUUAAUUUUCAGUACAAAUCAAAUUAUUUUUUCAUCCAGAUUUCAUGUUGUUUCUUUCUCUGAAGUGAGUUACCAAAACACUCCUCGCAUCAGAUCAUGUUCUGGCCCUUCUGUCAAAUGUACAACUUUUUUUGGCCCACAAGUGAAAAGGUUUGCCCACCCCUGCAAUGAACAGUCUGGGUGUGCAAACAGUUUUGUAACCUUUAUUGUCAAAUCUUUGUCUGACAAGUUUUUAUAAAUUAAAGAAUUACAUGAAAUUACAACAUAAUUGUAAGUAUAACCAAUUUUUACUAAAAACAAAGGCUGAAUCCAAAUUCUUCCCCCACCCCACGGCCUCUCCCUACCCUCCCAAACGGAGAGGUAUGGAAAAAUAGGCUGAAUUCCCACCUUAAUUCCUAAACUAAAACACCAUGUAAUGCGAUACUAUGUAGUGCCCUGGAUUUCAAAAGCAAUUCAGACACCAUGCUCACUACUUAUUUUAAAAUGGCAAAUAUGACAUCACAGAAUUCACAAAUUAAAAAUCUAAUUGAUAUGA